This 392-nucleotide ribosomal RNA is filed under the name uncultured bacterium. Its description in RNAcentral is "partial 16S ribosomal RNA". It matches the Rfam family "Bacterial small subunit ribosomal RNA", at positions 523 to 918 of the family's 1533-position model. The record is from RNAcentral.
AUACGUAGGUGGCGAGCGUUAUCCGGAUCUAUUGGGUUUAAAGGGAGCGUAGGUGGGAUAUUAAGUCAGCUGUGAAAGUUUGGGGCUCAACCUUAAAAUUGCAGUUGAUACUGGUUUCCUUGAGUACGGUACAGGUGGGCGGAAUUCGUGGUGUAGCGGUGAAAUGCUUAGAUAUCACGAAUAACUCCGAUCGCGAAGGCAGCUCACCGGGCCGGAACUGACACUGAGGCUCGAAAGUGCGGGUAUCAAACAGGAUUAGAUACCCUGGUAGUCCGCACAUUAAACGAUGAAUACUCGCUGUUUGCGAUACCCGGUAAGCGGCCAAGCGAAAGCGUUAAGAAUUCCCCCGGGGAGUAAGCCGGCAACGGUGAAACUCAAAUGAAUUGACGGGG